This 405-nucleotide unclassified non-coding RNA is filed under the name soil metagenome. RNAcentral's name for it is "partial contains 5.8S ribosomal RNA, internal transcribed spacer 2, and large subunit ribosomal RNA". The stretch from base 1 to 121 matches the Rfam family "5.8S ribosomal RNA", at positions 35 to 154 of the family's 154-position model. The record is from RNAcentral.
GAUGAAGAACGUAGCGAAAUGCGAUAAGUAAUGUGAAUUGCAGAAUUCAGUGAAUCAUCGAAUCUUUAAACGCACCUUGCGCCCUUUGGACAUUCCGAAGGGCAUGCCUGUUUGAGUAUCAUGAACACCUCAACUCUCACGGCUUGUCCGUGAUGAGCUUGGACUUUGGGGGUCUUGCCGGCCUGUGGUCGGCUCCUCUCAAAUGGAUCAGCUUGCCAGUGUUUGGUGGCAUCACAGGUGUGAUAACUAUCUGCGCUUGUGGUUUUCCAUCAGAUAACCUUCAGUGAUAUGGAGGUUCGCUGGAGCUCACAAAUGUCUCUCCUUAGUGAGGACAGCUCUUUGAACGUUUGAUCUCAAAUCAGGUAGGACUACCCGCUGAACUUAAGCAUAUCAAUAAGCGGAGGA